Molecule: ribosomal RNA, 253 nt
Filed under: uncultured bacterium
Lineage: Bacteria
Description: partial 16S ribosomal RNA
Rfam family: Bacterial small subunit ribosomal RNA
Source: RNAcentral
UACAGAGGGUGCGAGCGUUGUUCGGAAUUAUUGGGCGUAAAGGGAGUGUAGGCGGUUUGACAAGUCUUCUGUGAAAUCUACGGGCUUAGCCUGUAACGUGCAGAGGAAACUGUCAGGCUUGAGUGUCGGAGAGGAUAGGGGAAUACCCAGUGUAGAGGUGAAAUUCGUAGAGAUUGGGUGGAACACCAGUGGCGAAGGCGCCUCACUGGACGACUGUUGACGCUGAGGUGCGAAAGCGUGGGGAGCAAACAGG